Long non-coding RNA from Carassius gibelio (silver crucian carp), 454 nucleotides. RefSeq lists it as uncharacterized. The transcript is spliced from 2 exons. The record is from RefSeq and is a predicted model, not a curated record. Lineage: Eukaryota; Metazoa; Chordata; Actinopteri; Cypriniformes; Cyprinidae.
UCAAUCCCCCAUCGUUCUCGGUCACACCUGGCUUCAGAAACACAACCCCAGCAUCAAUUGGCGCCUUGGAUCUGUGGUUAGCUGGAGCGAGGAAUGUCAUUUGUCUUGUCUUUUGUCUGCUGGUGUUAAUGUUUCUGAGUCUGUGUUUCAGGGGGAAGCAGUGGAUUUGGCUAGCGUGCCCGCGGAGUACCACGACCUGAAGGAGGUGUUCAAUCCUCUCUUAUGUCUCCAUGCACUAGCUGGAUUACCGUCCUCCGUGUUUGUGUGCUGGUUUGGAUUCGUGUUGUCGUCCGCGUGUCAGUGUUCCGGUCUGUUCCUGGUUCCAACCAUUGACCACCUUCACCUGCACCGCUGACUUCACCAUCCCGCUCUUCUCACGCCACCGUAGACCUUCCUUGCCAUUGCCAACACUCUGGACACUCUUUAUCAAUAAACAACAUCUGAUUGCCUGCAA